GACGAACGCUGGCGGCAUGCCUAACACAUGCAAGUCGAACGAAGGCUUCGGCCUUAGUGGCGCACGGGUGCGUAACGCGUGGGAAUCUGCCCUUGGGUACGGAAUAACUCUCCGAAAGGAGUGCUAAUACCGUAUGAUGUCCCAAGACCAAAGAUUUAUCGCCCAGGGAUGAGCCCGCGUAGGAUUAGGUAGUUGGUGGGGUAAAGGCUCACCAAGCCGACGAUCCUUAGCUGGUCUGAGAGGAUGAUCAGCCACACUGGGACUGAGACACGGCACAGGCUCCUACGGGAGGCAGCAGUGGGGAAUAUUGGACAAUGGGCGAAAGCCUGUUCCAGCAAUGCCGCGUGAGUGAUGAAGGCCUUAGGGUUGUAAAGCUCUUUUACCCGGGAAGAUAAUGACUGUACCGGGAGAAUAAGCCCCGGCUAACUCCGUGCCAGCCGCCGCCGUAA
This 449-nucleotide ribosomal RNA is filed under the name uncultured bacterium. RNAcentral describes it as "partial 16S ribosomal RNA". It matches the Rfam family "Bacterial small subunit ribosomal RNA", at positions 28 to 523 of the family's 1533-position model. The record is from RNAcentral.